UAUAUGUCUGUGCCUAGCUUUCCGACAUUCCAACUUCAGAGUGUUUGUUCAGUUACCUAGUGGACUCGAGGAAGCUGCUUGUAGAUCAAACUCAAAGGCCAAGUUGUUAGAAGGUUUGUUCACUCUCUUAGUGACCAGCUUGGUUGGGGUGGGAGUCAUUCGUGGAGUCAGACCAGAUCAGCAGUUGGUGUAACGUCAACUGCAAUUUAACCUUGGUCUUACAUAAACUUGUCUAUUUGGAAACUAAUAUCAGGGUUCCAGUGAUUCUUGUCACAGCUGUCAGUGACUAUAAACAGCCUCUCCUUUUUCAAAACCUGAAUGAUGAAAAGAGGAACAUACAUCUAGAGGUGACAAGAGGUGGAAGACGAGUUUGAUCAUUUCAAUCUAUGACAUUGUGGUGGGUGAUAUCAUACCUCUCAACAUUGGCAAUCAGGCUGUUUGCCUGCUUUGAUUGUCAUGGAGGUAUAUGGGGAAACCGAUUAAAACUGUUGGGAUGUGGAGAGUGAAUGGACACGAUCUUGAACCCUUUGAUCCUGAAGGAAUGGCUGGACGAAUUCUUGGAAUGGCAACAGAAACUAAAAGGAGAGCCUAUGAACUUUUUAAAAAGGCUACAAUACAAGAAAGAACGGCGCGUGAUUAGACAUCAUAAUAAUUGGAGAGAGUUUCAGAUUGCUGCUGCUAGCGUGAUAGUAUAGAGACCACACAUGCAACACCCGUUCGGUUCCCAAGGAAAACUGUGUGGCUUUGCAUGAAUUGAGAAAGAUUUUACGCAGAUGCUCUUAGAACCACUCUGAUUCCUUUCAUCCUUUGUCCCAAGUUAAAAUGGAGGCAGCAGCGGCGGAGAUCGAAAGGGCUAAAACGUCCGCGUUGCAAGACAUAAGGGUUCUCAAGGGUCUUCAAGGCGACUCCAAUCUCGUGAACGGAGCUGGGCUCAGUCACUUACCCGUAGCAGCGGAGACAGAGUUCACUAUGGCAAAAACGUCAGUAUGGUGGGAUAUUGGGAACUGCGAGGUCCCUAAAGGUUGUAACGCCCAUGGUAUUGCUCAGAACAUUAGCUCGGCUCUGUCGAAGAUGAGCUAUAAUGGUUCACUCACUAUUUCUGCCUACGGCGACACCAGUCAAAUCCCUUCUUCCGUCCAACAAGCUCUUUAUUCCACCGGCGUUACACUCAAUCACGUCCCGACUGGAGUGAAAGAUGCGAGCGACAAGAAGAUAUUAGUGGAUAUGUUGUUAUGGGCAGUGGACAAUCCAGCUCCUGCGAAUUUUAUGCUCAUUUCUGGUGAUAGAGACUAUUCUCGCCCAACCUGACAAAGCAUCAGUUCCACUGUUCUCUGCUGCAAAGACAAUAUGGCUAUGGACAAACAUAGCUUUUGGGGAUUGUCCUCGUGGCAAACAAGGUGAAUCCUCACGACCCAUUGAUAGUGGACGCCAACAUCAUCCUUCUGGCACUGAGGUAUUAAGCCAUCCGGUUCGUAAACAAACUCAGCACAUUAAGCAGUUUGACUCAACUUUGAUCUCUUGAACUGGAAACAAGAGGGGCGAAAGCUUCUGUCAAUUAUGCAAUGUUGUUUGCUCGAGCCAUGACUUAACCUCUCACAUCUUUGGUAAAAGGCACAGAUCUAAGCUCAUGCAAGUAGCCGGUGAACGCCCUCAUGUCUGUUUAACCGAAGCAAAGCAUGUAUGGUGCAGAGUUUGCCAGACGAGUUACAACAGUGAAGGUAUGAAAAUCACAUCUUAGGGACAAGGCCCAGAACAAACUUGAAGAUCAAGCCGGGAAUUCAAGAAAGCGCGUCCGCAGAAUCCGCUAAUGGUCCUCCUUUAAUAUUAGAGCGAAAGAAAAUGCAAUUAGAGUUUGUAAAAUUUUGCUAAACUGGUAGUGUUUUGAGUCUCACCUUUGUUUUUUUUGGAUCGGGAUGCUAGAAAAAAAGAAGCUGAGCCAAGCUGAUAACUUUUGGUAUUUGGGAGAAGUUUUCUUGAAAGGUUGUGGGUUCGAGUCCUAGGUGGAUCAUUUUUUUUGAAAAAAUAGAAAAUCACUAC
Camelina sativa (false flax) is the source of this 2037-nucleotide non-coding RNA. Lineage: Eukaryota; Viridiplantae; Streptophyta; Magnoliopsida; Brassicales; Brassicaceae. The record is from RefSeq and is a predicted model, not a curated record.